GCCGGACACCACUCACGCCUCUUCUCCUUCUCCGCGGGUUGGUUUAGCCCCAGAGGCUUUUGACGUGAGUAGACACAUUGCACUCGUUCCUCAAUUUAGAGAAACAGAAGUGGAUACUUACUUCAGUGCGUUUGAACGCAUCGCAACUUCUCUUCGUUGGCCUAAGGAGGUCUGGUCUUUGCUUUUGCAAUGUAGAUUAUUUGGUAACGCGCAAAAAGUUUGUUCUACAUUAUCGCUAGAAGAGAGUCUGAAAUAUGAGUCUGUGAAGUCUGCUAUCCUGCGAGCAUAUGAGUUGGUUCCGGAGGCUUAUAGGCAACGUGUUUUUAGAAAACACAAAAAGAGUCCUACACAAACAUUUGUGGAGUUUGCUAGGGAGAAGGGAGUGUUGUUUGAUAAAUGGUGCACUGCCAGUAAAGUGAGUGAUUUUGACUCUUUAAGAGAGUUGAUAUUGCUAGAGGAGUUUAAGGGAUGUGUAUCUGAACGUGUAGUAGUAUACCUUAAUGAACAGAAGGUAACUACUUUAUCACACGCAGCUGUACUCGCAGAUGAGUUUGUUUUAACUCACAAGAAUGUAUUUUCCUCUGCACGUCCUGAAAAGUUACAGUUUGACAGUUCGCAAUCUCAAACUUCACGUUCAAGAUUUAGCCCACCUCAUAAUAAAGAGGAGCGUGAAUGUUUUUACUGUCACAAGAAAGGGCAUGUGAUCGCUGAUUGUUUGGCUUUGAAGCGCAAGCAGCAGCCACAACCAAAGAGCGUGGGGUUGGUGAAAGCUUUUAAAUCUGCGGUCGCUGUGCAUCCUGCGGAAAGAAUUGAUGAGAGUUAUCGGCCCUUUGUGUCAAAAGGGUUAAUAUCUCUGUCUGGGAAAAGGGAGGACCAGGAAGAAGUAAGAAUACUCAGGGACACUGGUGCCAUGCAAUCCUUUAUUUUGGCAGGUAAAUUACAGCUGUCUGACUAGACCUUUUGUGGCGCUAGUGUGAUCGUGCAAGGCAUUGAGAUGGGUUGAGUGAGAUUCCCGCUCCAUCGGAUGCACUUACAGAGCGAGUUGUGUACUGGUUUUGUGAGAGUUGCUGUGAGUCCUUCACUUCCUGUGAAAGGUGUUGAUGUUAUUCUUGGAAAUGACCUGGCAGGUGGAAAGGUAAUGCCUGUUAUUGAAGUUGUUGAUGAACCAGAUGCGUUUUGUGAGUUAGAGGCACUGUCUGAAACUUACCCUGAUGUUUUUCCAGCCUGCGCCGUUACGCGCGCUCAGUCGCGUAGAGUAGGU
This 1261-nucleotide long non-coding RNA is filed under the name Sinocyclocheilus anshuiensis. Its description in RNAcentral is "lncRNA (ENSSANG00000046920.1)". Lineage: Eukaryota; Metazoa; Chordata; Actinopteri; Cypriniformes; Cyprinidae. The record is from RNAcentral.